CCCGGUUAUCCCGACCUGCCUUCCGGAUCUUCUCGAUUACUCUCCGAUCUUCAGCCCCCCCGGCCUCCGACCACCAGACGAGCGAGCCCAGACGCGUCACCACCCUCAGCCCGAGACGCCGCUCGAUCACUGGGACACACACACACACACACACACACACACACACACACACACACACUCAGCACCUUGGACUGGAACCCCCCGGAAACUUGGUGACCCCCGGAGCCCAGGUAACCCACAGGACCCUGAAAAACCCCAGAGCCCCGAGGAGCCCUGGAACCCCUGACACCCCUGGCACUCCUAGCACCCCUGGAACCGGAACCCUUCAAUAAAAAGACUCUGAAUUUGAA
Molecule: long non-coding RNA, 350 nt
Organism: Alosa sapidissima (American shad)
Lineage: Eukaryota; Metazoa; Chordata; Actinopteri; Clupeiformes; Clupeidae
Exons: 2
Source: RefSeq, a predicted model, not a curated record